RNAcentral lists this transfer RNA (73 nucleotides) under Deltaproteobacteria bacterium. RNAcentral describes it as "tRNA-Val". It matches the Rfam family "tRNA". From Rfam's summary of the family: Transfer RNA (tRNA) molecules are approximately 80 nucleotides in length. Their secondary structure includes four short double-helical elements and three loops (D, anti-codon, and T loops). Further hydrogen bonds mediate the characteristic L-shaped molecular structure. tRNAs have two regions of fundamental functional importance: the anti-codon, which is responsible for specific mRNA codon recognition, and the 3' end, to which the tRNAs corresponding amino acid is attached (by aminoacyl-tRNA synthetases). tRNAs cope with the degeneracy of the genetic code in two manners: having more than one tRNA (with a specific anti-codon) for a particular amino acid; and 'wobble' base-pairing, i.e. permitting non-standard base-pairing at the 3rd anti-codon position. Lineage: Bacteria; Pseudomonadati; Myxococcota; Myxococcia. The record is from RNAcentral.
GGGCGGUUAGCUCAGCUGGGAGAGCGACGGAGUCACAAUCCGUAGGCCACAGGUUCGAUCCCUGUACCGCCCA